This 581-nucleotide ribosomal RNA is filed under the name uncultured bacterium. RNAcentral's name for it is "bacterial SSU rRNA". It matches the Rfam family "Bacterial small subunit ribosomal RNA", at positions 331 to 929 of the family's 1533-position model. The record is from RNAcentral.
CCAGACUCCUACGGGAGGCAGCAGUGGGGAAUAUUGGACAAUGGACCAAGAGUCUGAUCCAGCAAUUCUGUGUGCACGAUGAAGUUUUUCGGAAUGUAAAGUGCUUUCAGUUGGGAAGAAAGAAAUGACGGUACCAACAGAAGAAGUGACGGCUAAAUACGUGCCAGCAGCCGCGGUAAUACGUAUGUCACGAGCGUUAUCCGGAUUUAUUGGGCGUAAAGCGCGUCUAGGUGGUUAUAUAAGUCUGAUGUGAAAAUGCAGGGCUCAACUCUGUAUUGCGUUGGAAACUGUAUAACUAGAGUACUGGAGAGGUAAGCGGAACUACAAGUGUAGAGGUGAAAUUCGUAGAUAUUUGUAGGAAUGCCGAUGGGGAAGCCAGCUUACUGGACAGAUACUGACGCUGAAGCGCGAAAGCGUGGGUAGCAAACAGGAUUAGAUACCCUGGUAGUCCACGCCGUAAACGAUGAUUACUAGGUGUUGGGGGUCGAACCUCAGCGCCCAAGCAAACGCGAUAAGUAAUCCGCCUGGGGAGUACGUACGCAAGUAUGAAACUCAGAGGAAUUGACGGGGGCCCGCACAAG